Molecule: non-coding RNA, 728 nt
Organism: Cyprinodon tularosa
Lineage: Eukaryota; Metazoa; Chordata; Actinopteri; Cyprinodontiformes; Cyprinodontidae
Source: the annotation of a RefSeq genome assembly
AUGCUGCGGAUGUUUUACGAGUCUGUGGUGGCCAGUGUCAUCCUUUAUGCUGUUACAGGCUGGGGCAGCAGACUGAAGAAGCACUUUCAGUCAGAGACUCAUUUUAUCACACAGCACCACAGAGCGCCAAAGGAAAGUCAGAGAGCCGUGUCUCUCUACAGUCAGAGGUUUUUGUACGACGAUUCAAUCGGUUUGUAUCACUGUGGUACACGUUUGGUGGAGGAACCAGACUGGAUGUUGGAAUUUGUAUCACUGUGGAGGACUUUUGGUGGAGGAACCAGACUGGAUGUUGGAAGUGACACCCGUCCCACCCUGACAGUACUGCCCCCCUCCAAAGAGGAGAUGCAGCAGGGGAAGGCCACCCUCAUGUGUCUGGCCAACAAGGGCUUCCCCUCCGGCUGGAGUCUGUCCUGGAAGGUGGACGGCAGCAGCAGCAGCGGCAGCUGGGAGCAGAACAGGAGCCCCGGGGUUCUGCAGAAGGACGGCCUCUACAGCUGGAGCAGCACCCUGAGUCUCCCUGCAGACCAGUGGAGGAAGGUGGGCUCUGUGACCUGUGAGGCCACCCAGGGCUCCCAGUCUGCAGUCACCCAGACACUGAGGAGAGACCAGUGUUCCCAGUCCUGAUCUGAUUCACUCAGACAAUGAUAAUGGAUUGAAUCUGUCACUGCUCUCAUUCUUUUUCUUCUGAUUAUUUUCUACUUUCAAUGAAUCAUGUUUUUUUUUUUUUG